RNAcentral lists this small RNA (170 nucleotides) under Zonotrichia albicollis (white-throated sparrow). RNAcentral's name for it is "TUC338 (ENSZALG00000012119.1)". The record is from RNAcentral. Lineage: Eukaryota; Metazoa; Chordata; Aves; Passeriformes; Passerellidae.
UUGGCAACCCUGGACACUUUAUCUACAAAACAAGCACAGACCAGGCACUGGCAAUGGAAGCUUCUGCCAUGCUGCUGUCUGCUGAAUUGCCUCCACCCUGUCCUGAAUUGCCUCAGUCUCUGGGACUGAGGAACAGAGCAUUUCCUUGGGCUGUUCAGUCUUUGACUUUU